RNAcentral lists this long non-coding RNA (4473 nucleotides) under Nicotiana benthamiana. Its description in RNAcentral is "long non-coding RNA (NBEN_LNC012357)". The record is from RNAcentral. Lineage: Eukaryota; Viridiplantae; Streptophyta; Magnoliopsida; Solanales; Solanaceae.
GUUGAGAUGAAAGACAAUACAUAAUUGUAACCUAUGUAUAUCUGAUGUAUAUUCGUUGUAUAUAUGGUGUAUAUCCUAUAGGGCUAUGAUGAUAAACGACAUUGGGCUUGUCUUAGCUGUAUAAGUGGGUCAUAUCUGAGCCCGUAGGUAAUUGGGCCAUUUGACCCGUGUGUACCACCCGACCCAGUCCGUUUAUAUUAGUUUCUGUACAUAUGUGUAAAGCUUACACAACACACUUAAUAAUAAAAAUAUCUCUGAAAGCUUCCAAAGAAUUCUGAAACGCUCUCACUUCUCUCUCUACAUUUCCAUGGUUUUUCUUGGUUUAUCUUUGAUGUUUUCAUGGUAUCAGAGCCAACACAACGAUCCGAUCAUGUUCUUCUGCAUAUCAGUACCUCGGUUGAACUUUUGUUUGACAGUUUUUUGGGGUUUUUCUGAGACCGAUUGGUCGAUGAUGUUUCCGACUCCGAUCGGAGGUGCUUCAGAGCGUUUUCAUCAUGCUUUCUGACUGUAUUCUCUUCACUCCAACGGUUUGAGAGAUUAUUACAGAUUUUCCGGAGAUUUUCCGGUGAGCUCUCGACUUCUAGGGUUUCUGGUGGUCAAGUCUGUGCUUUGACUACUGUCCGGUGGUUCGAUUCUCACUUUGCGGGUGUUUUGAGUGCUGUUCCAACACCUUUGACCAUAUCUCCAGUAAGUUUUGACGAUUACACCUAAGGUUCUGUACCUAGGGUUUUCUGUGAUUUUGAAGGCCGAUCUUCUCCGGUUGCGAAGAAGGACGGUAACUGUGACCCUAUUCUGAGUAUUACAUGUCUUGCAUGUGAUUAUUUGUCUCUGUUUGUGAAUACUGAUAUUUGGUGUUGUUUGUGAGAUACUUGAUUUGGUUAUAAUCUGUUUGUUGAAAACCCUCAUUAUAACCUAGCUCAUUGAGUAUGGCUUCUAAUACGAAUCCUGGUACUUCUGCCUCAAUGGACUCCUCCAGCCCUCUGUUUGUGUAUUCUUCUGAUGUGCCUGGGGUUUCUCUUGUUCCCACUCCCUUCUCGGGUAGUGGUUACGGGGGUUGGAGACGUAAGAUGAUUAUGGCUUUGAGUGCUAAAAAUAAAAUUGGCUUCAUUGAUGGUUCAUGUACUCGUCCUGCUGUUAAUGUGAACCAACAGAGGUUGUGGGACAGAUGUAAUAACAUGGUCAUGUCUUGGUUGACCUCCUCUCUGUCCCCUCAAAUUGCUGACAGUGUGCAGUACUCUGACACUGCACAGAGUAUGUGGUCUCAGCUUGAGAAACGAUAUGGUACCCCUAACAAGACUAAAAUCUUUGAACUAAAAAGGGAACUAUCUCACACAUCUCAAGGCUCCUUGGAUAUAGCCUCAUACUUUAACAAACUUAAAAGCUUGUGGGAUGAAUUAGGCACAAUGUGCACAAACCAUGGGCAGAGAUGUGUAUGUGCUGCCGGAAAUGGAAUAAUUGAGGAAGAUGAUGAAAACAAGGUGUUCCAGUUCCUUAUGGGGUUAAAUGAGACAUACUUGGGAGUUAGGAGUAAUUUGUUGAUGAUGCAGACAUUUCCUUCCCUUGACAGUGUCUACAACAUAGUGCUCAAUGAUGAAAAGCAGAGACAAGUUCAAUCUGUCUCUUAUAUCAGUCCAGACUCUAUAUCCUUUAAUGCCCAUUCAAGCAGGCACUCAGUUGGGUCUAACCAGGGCAAACUGCCUGGUCCUAUUUCCAGACCCAGAGUUAAUUUUGAGCGAAACAGAGGAACCUUAUUCUGCAGAUACUGCAAGAGGUCUGGGCACUUAAUUGAUAAGUGCUACAAGCUCCAUGGGUUUAAUUAUUGACAUCAAGUUGAAACAAAGGCCAGUGGUUCUUGACAGCCACAGCAACGAGGCAUUUCACUGAAGUCAUUUUAAUGACAGGAGAAAAAGUGUCAGUAAAAUCAACACCCUCAACUUGGGUAUCACCCCUAAUAACCAGCCUUGCUUUAUAUCUUUCAACUAGACCAUCAGACUUGUAUUUGACUUCGUAUACCCAUUUACAGCCAAUGGGUUUCUUACCAGGAGGAAGUGGCACAAUAUCCCAGGUAUGAUUGGCAUCCAAGGCAUCAAAUUCCUGUCUCAUUGCAUCCUGCCAUGCUGGGACAGAUGUAGCUUGAGAGUAAUACAUAGGUUCAAAUUCCAAAGUGGAGGAAGAAGAACCAGAAAAUGCAGGGAGUUGGCAAACAUAAUCCUUGAGGUAGGAAGGAGGAUUAUGCUGUCUAGUAGACUUUCUAGAAGUGGGAAGAGGUGAAGAGGAGCCAGAAAAGGCAGAGAAUUGACACAUAUAGUCCUUUAGGUAGGUAGGUGGGUGAUGCUGUCUGGUGGAUUUUCUAGGCAGAGGAGGUGGUUGGGAAGGAGGUAACAGAGGAACAGGGAUAUCAGCAUUGAAAGAGGGAGGAGAAGGAGCAGGAUCAAAAGUUGGAGGAGAGGAAUCAGGAAUGGAAGAAAUAGCCUCAGUAAAAUCAUCAGGAAUAGGAACAGAAGAAAAGGGUGAAGGAGAAGGUGGGGAAGGUAUAUAUUUGGUCUUAAAAGGGAAGUAGGUUUCAUGAAAAACAACAUCUCUAGAGACAAAACAUUUUUUAGUGUCCAAAUUAUACAAUUUAUACCCUUUCUUACCAAAGGGGUAACCCAGGAAAACACAAGAAUGGGCUCUAGGUUUCAGUUUGUCUCUUUGAGGAAUUGGAACAGCUGCAUAAGCUAGACAACCAAAUGCCCUCAAAUUAGAGUAAGAUGGAGGGGUACCAUGUAAGAUUUCAUGGGGAGAUUUAUGGUGAAGGACUCUGGAUGGUAGUCUGCUAAGAAGGUAAAUGGCAGUUAACAGGCAAUCCCCCAAAAAUGAAAUAGGUAAACCAGACUGAAAGAGAAGGGCUCUACAAGUCUCAAGUAGAGUUUUGUGUUUUCUUUCAACAACCCCAUUCUGUUGAGGGGAAUGUGGACAGGUGGUUUGAUGAACAAUCCCCAGGUUACUAAAAAGGGACAUACCUUCAGCACUGGAACCCAGUUCCAGUGCAUUGUCACUUCUGACAAUAUGGACCAUAGUGUGAAAUUAAGUUUGAACAUAGGAGAUGAAAGAUUUAAGCAAAGAAAAGGCAUUGCUCUUGGAACCCAUCAAAUGUGUCCAGGUGGCUCUAGAGAAUUCAUCAACUAUAGUAAGGAAAUAUUUAUAACCAGAAGAAGUAGCAGUAUGGUAAGGUCCCCAAGUAUCUACAUGGAUUAAUUGAAAAGGUUUAACAGCACUGAUGGUACUGUCAGGGAAAGGUAAUCUAGUUUGUUUUGCCAUGGGACAAAUGGAACAAGGAAAAGGUUGUUUGGGAGCAAAAGGAAAGGAUAAACCAGAAAUAUGUUUCAUGUUAGCAAAAGAAGUAUGUGCAAGUCUCAAAUGCCAAAUGUAAUUCAUAUCAGAUGCAACAACAUUAUUACAAAUGGGAUUUUUUACAAUAGGGGAGAGGCUAAUAUAUUUGCUUUCAGACACAUUGUCAUCAUUACAAACGUCAAAGGCAUUACACACAAAAGAAAAAGAGGAAUCCGGAGAGGUAGAAGAGGAAGGAUGCACCCAAGAUAACUUGUAUAAUCCAGCUUCCUCUUUACCAAGAUCCAGAAGCCUCUUCAGAGAAAGGUCCUGUAGCAUGUGAAUCAAACAGAAAGUUGGGGUGAACAAGACUAUACAAUGUAACUGUUUUAUCAAUUUAUGAACAGAGAUCAAAUUAUAGGGUGAACAAGACUAUACAAUAUAACUGUUUUAUCAAUUUAUGAACAGAGAUCAAAUUAUGUAUGAAGGAAGGAACUAGAAGUACAUUGUGGAGGGUAAGGGAAGAAGUUAAUGCAAAAGAACCUUUACAGGUUACCUUUACUUUGUAACCAUUAGGUAGAGUGACAAGAUAGGGAACAGUUAAAGGUAUGAUGUUAAAGAGUAGAUUUUUAUCAUAAGUCAUAUGGUCAGAUGCCCCUGAAUCAAUGAUCCAGGUAGCAGAAUUAAUAUUUGUAAGCAUGCAUAAUUUGGAAUCAGAAACAAGACUCUCAGUCAACAUAGUACCAGCAAAAUUAGCAGCACACAUGGGAGAGGAAGUUUGAUCACUAGAAUCCCUUGACCUGGUCUGUUGCAACAAGCUUAUCAGUUGAUCACAUUGCUGUCUGCUCAACCCUGGUAUCACAGACUUGUUGGCAGCAGGAUCCCCAAGAGGAACAGACAGGUCAGAAUUCCCAUGAUUAUCAGACACACAGUCAGGACCAGUGGAGACAUGAGCAGCUACAGAUUUCCUUCAUAUAUAUGAUGUAUAUUCAUUGUAUAUAUGGUGUAUAUCCUAUAGGGCUAUGAUGAUAAAAGACAUUGGGCUUGUCUUAGCUGUAUAAGUGGGUCAUAUCUGAGCCCGUAAGUAAUUGGGCCAUUUGACCCGUGUGUACCACCCGACCCAGUCCGUUUAUAUUAGUUUCUGUACAUAUGUGUAAAGCUUAC